This 465-nucleotide ribosomal RNA is filed under the name uncultured bacterium. Its description in RNAcentral is "partial 16S ribosomal RNA". It matches the Rfam family "Bacterial small subunit ribosomal RNA", at positions 28 to 507 of the family's 1533-position model. The record is from RNAcentral.
GACGAACGCUGGCGGCGUGCUUAACACAUGCAAGUCGAACGGCAAGGCCCUGCUUGCAGGGUCCUCGAGUGGGGAACGGGUGAGUAACACGGGGGUGCUCCGCCCUGCACUUCGGGAUAAGCCUGGGAGACUGGGACUAAUACCGGAUACGAGCUACUAUCUGCGGGAUGGAUGGAAAGAUUUUUCGGCGUAGGAUGAGUUGGCGGCCUAUCAGCUUGUUGGUGGGGUAAUGGGCUACCAAGGCGGCGACGGGUAGCCGGACUGUGAGGGUGGACGGCGGCAUUGGCACUGAGAUGAGGCCCAGACGCCUACGGGAGGCAGCAGGGGGGAAUCUUGAACAAUGGGCGCAGGCCUGAUGCAGCGGCGCCGCGGGGGGGAUGACGGCCUUCGUGUUGUAGACUACUUUCGCGAUAGACGAAGCUUUUUGUGACGGUACCUAGAGAAGAAGCACCGGCUAACUUCGUG